This 492-nucleotide ribosomal RNA is filed under the name uncultured bacterium. Its description in RNAcentral is "partial 16S ribosomal RNA". It matches the Rfam family "Bacterial small subunit ribosomal RNA", at positions 29 to 507 of the family's 1533-position model. The record is from RNAcentral.
AGUGAACGCUGGCGGUAGGCCUAACACAUGCAAGUCGAACGGCAGCACAGUAAGAGCUUGCUCUUACGGGUGGCGAGUGGCGGACGGGUGAGGAAUACAUCGGAAUCUACUUUUUCGUGGGGGAUAACGUAGGGAAACUUACGCUAAUACCGCAUACGACCUACGGGUGAAAGCAGGUGAUCUUCGGACCUUGCGCGAUUGAAUGAGCCGAUGUCGGAUUAGCUAGUUGGCGGGGUAAAGGCCCACCAAGGCGACGAUCCGUAGCUGGUCUGAGAGGAUGAUCAGCCACACUGGAGCUGAGACACGGUCCAGACUCCUACGGGAGGCAGCAGUGGGGAAUAUUGGACAAUGGGCGCAAGCCUGAUCCAGCCAUACCGCGUGGGUGAAGAAGGCCUUCGGGUUGUAAAGCCCUUUUGUUGGGAAAGAAAAGCAGCAGGUUAAUACCCCGCUGUUCUGACGGUACCCAAAGAAUAAGCACCGGCUAACUUCGUG